RNAcentral lists this ribosomal RNA (2900 nucleotides) under Clostridioides difficile. Its description in RNAcentral is "bacterial LSU rRNA". It matches the Rfam family "Bacterial large subunit ribosomal RNA". Lineage: Bacteria; Bacillati; Bacillota; Clostridia; Peptostreptococcales; Peptostreptococcaceae. The record is from RNAcentral.
UGGUCAAGUUAUUAAGGGUGCAGGGCGGAUGCCUUGGCACUAGGAGCCGAUGAAGGACGUGAUAAGCUGCGAUAAGCUUCGGGGAGUUGCACGUAAACUUUGAUCCGAAGAUUUCCGAAUGAGGAAACUCACUUAGAGUAAUGUCUAAGUAUCAUUAAGUGAAUACAUAGCUUAAUGAGGGGAACUCAGGGAACUGAAACAUCUAAGUACCUGAAGGAAGAGAAAGAAAUUCGAUUCCGUAAGUAGCGGCGAGCGAACGCGGAUUAGCCCAAACCAAUAAAGUUUUCUUUGUUGGGGUUGCGGACAUAUCAUAACGAAGAGGUAUCGUAAUUGAAGAGGUUUGGAAAGACCCACCACAGAAGGUAAUAGUCCUGUAUGUUAAACGAGAAGACUUUAGAUAUGAUCCAGAGUACCACGGGACACGUGAAACCCUGUGGGAAGCAGGAGGGACCACCCUCCAAGGCUAAAUACUACCUAGUGACCGAUAGCGUAUAGUACCGUGAGGGAAAGGUGAAAAGAACCCCGGGAGGGGAGUGAAAUAGAACCUGAAACCCUGCACUUACAAGCUGUGGAAGCACAUUUCUUGUGUGACCGCGUACUUUUUGUAGAACGGGCCAACGAGUUACGUUAAGUAGCAAGGUUAAGCACUUAAGGUGUGGAGCCGUAGCGAAAGCGAGUUUUAACUGAGCGUUCAGUUACUUGACGUAGACCCGAAACCGGGCGACCUACCCAUGAGCAGGAUGAAGCGAAAGUAAAAUUUCGUGGAGGUCCGAACCCACGAGCGUUGAAAAGCUCGGGGAUGACUUGUGGGUAGCGGUGAAAUUCCAAUCGAGCCCGGAGAUAGCUGGUUCUCCCCGAAAUAGCUUUAGGGCUAGCCUCAAGGUGAGAGAUACGGAGGUAGAGCACUGAAUGUCCUAGGGGGUAUUGCACCUACCGAAGACUAUCAAACUCCGAAUGCCGUCAUCUUAUACUUGGGAGUCAGACUGUGGGUGAUAAGAUUCAUAGUCGAAAGGGCAACAGCCCAGAUCGUCAGCUAAGGUCCCUAAAUGUAAGUUAAGUGGUAAAGGAUGUGGGAUUGCACAGACAACCAGGAUGUUGGCUUAGAAGCAGCCACUCAUUCAAAGAGUGCGUAAUAGCUCACUGGUCGAGUGAUCCUGCGCCGAAGAUUUCCGGGGCUAAAACUUACUACCGAAGCUACGGCAUCAGUAAUGAUGGGUAGGGGAGCUUCCCAUACGGGUUGAAGCAUGACCGUAAGGACAUGUGGACAGUAUGGGAGUGAGAAUGUUGGCAUGAGUAGCGAGAUGUGGGUGAGAAUCCCACAGGCCGUAAACCCAAGGUUUCCAGGGGAAGGUUCGUCCGCCCUGGGUUAGUCGGGACCUAAGCUGAGGCCGAAAGGCGUAGGUGAUGGACAACAGGUUGAUAUUCCUGUACUACCGAUAACCGUUUGAGAGAAGGGAUGACACAGUAGGAUAAGCUAAGCACACUGUUGGUUAUGUGUGCCCAAGCAUUGAGGCAGUCAAAGUAGGCAAAUCCGCUUUGAUAAUGCUGGGAUGUGAUGGGGAGCGAAAUUUAGUAGCGAAGUAGCUGAUUUCACACUGUCAAGAAAAGUCUCUAUCGAGGUUAAAGGUACCCGUACCGCAAACCGACACAGGUGGGUGAGGAGAGUAUCCUAAGGCCAGCGAGAGAACUGUUGUUAAGGAACUCGGCAAAAUGACCCCGUAACUUAGGGAUAAGGGGUGCCACCAUCAGGUGGCCGCAGAGAAUAGGCCCAAGCGACUGUUUACCAAAAACAUAGGUUUCUGCUAAGUCGCAAGACGAUGUAUAGGAGCUGACGCCUGCCCGGUGCUGGAAGGUUAAGGGGAUCUGUUAGAGCAAUCGAAGCAGUGAACUUAAGCCCCAGUAAACGGCGGCCGUAACUAUAACGGUCCUAAGGUAGCGAAAUUCCUUGUCGGGUAAGUUCCGACCCGCACGAAAGGCGUAACGAUUUGGGCACUGUCUCAACAACAGACUCGGUGAAAUUGUAAUUCCGGUGAAGAUGCCGGAUACCUGCGACAGGACGGAAAGACCCCAUGGAGCUUUACUGUAGCUUGACAUUGGGUCUUGGUACUACAUGUACAGGAUAGGUGGGAGGCUUUGAAACCAGGACGCCAGUUUUGGCGGAGCCAUCCUUGGGAUACCACCCUUGUAGUACUGGGACUCUAACCAUAGGCCAUGAAUCUGGUCUUGGGACACUGUCAGGUGGGCAGUUUGACUGGGGCGGUCGCCUCCCAAAAGGUAACGGAGGCGCUCAAAGGUUCUCUCAGUACGGUCGGAAAUCGUACGUAGAGUGUAAAGGCAAAAGAGAGCUUGAUUGCAAGACAUACAGGUCGAGCAAGGAUGAAAAUCGGACUUAGUGAUCCGGUGGUUCUGCGUGGAAGGGCCAUCGCUCAACGGAUAAAAGCUACCCUGGGGAUAACAGGCUUAUCUCCCCCAAGAGUCCACAUCGACGGGGAGGUUUGGCACCUCGAUGUCGGCUCAUCACAUCCUGGGGCUGUAGUAGGUCCCAAGGGUUGGGCUGUUCGCCCAUUAAAGUGGUACGCGAGCUGGGUUCAGAACGUCGUGAGACAGUUCGGUCCCUAUCCGUCGCAGGCGUAGGAAAUUUGAGAAGACCUGUCCUUAGUACGAGAGGACCGGGAUGGACGUACCUCUGGUGUACCAGUUGUCCUGCCAAGGGCAUGGCUGGGUAGCUAUGUACGGAAUGGAUAAGCGCUGAAAGCAUCUAAGCGCGAAGCCAACUUCAAGAUAAGAUUUCCCACCGCAAGGGUAAGACCCCAGAAAGACUAUCUGGUUGAUAGGUCGAAGGUGUAAGUGCAGCAAUGUAUUUAGCUUAUCGAUACUAAUAGGUCGAGGACUUGACCAAU